GGGGGUGUAGUUCAGAUGGUAGAGCGCGCGCUUAGCAUGCGCGAGGUACCGGGAUCGAUACCCGGCACCUCCA
Molecule: non-coding RNA, 73 nt
Organism: Ciona savignyi (Pacific transparent sea squirt)
Lineage: Eukaryota; Metazoa; Chordata; Ascidiacea; Phlebobranchia; Cionidae
Source: Rfam